GAUUAACGCGAAGAACCUUACCUGGAUUUGACAUCCCUCGACAACCGUAGAGAUACGGCUUUGGUAGCAAUACCACGAGGAGACAGGUGCUGCAUGGCUGUCGUCAGCUCGUGUGGUGACAUGUUGGGUUAAGUCCCGCAACGAGCGCAACCCUUGUCCUUAGUUGCCAGCAUUCAGUUGGGCUCUCUAAGGAGACUGCCGUGGUUAACACGGAGGAAGGUGGGGAUGACGUCAAGUCCUCAUGGCCUUUAUAUCCAGGGCGACACACGUGAUACAAUGGACGGUACAGAGGGAUGCGAAACCGCGAGGUGGAGCAAAUCUCAAAAAGCCGUUCUCAGUUCGGAUUGGAGUCUGCAACUCGACUCCAUGAAGUUGGAAUCGCUAGUAAUCGCGGAUCAGCACGCCGCGGUGAAUACGUUCCCGGGCCUUGUACACACCGAAUC
This 443-nucleotide ribosomal RNA is filed under the name uncultured bacterium. RNAcentral's name for it is "bacterial SSU rRNA". It matches the Rfam family "Bacterial small subunit ribosomal RNA", at positions 954 to 1396 of the family's 1533-position model. The record is from RNAcentral.